GUUAGUAAAGCAAAACGGCCAUGCAAGAGACCUAAGUCCUCUGACUAGGGGGUUCAAAUCCCCUUACUAACU
Molecule: transfer RNA, 72 nt
Filed under: Limnonectes fragilis (fragile wart frog)
Lineage: Eukaryota; Metazoa; Chordata; Amphibia; Anura; Dicroglossidae
Description: tRNA-Leu
Source: RNAcentral